GAUGAAGAACGCAGUGAAAUGCGAUAAGUAAUGUGAAUUGCAGAAUUCAGUGAAUCAUCGAAUCUUUGAACGCACAUUGCGCCCCCCAGUAUUCUGGCGGGCAUGCCUGUUCGAGCGUCAUUUCAACCAUCAAGCCCUGCUUGUGUUGGGGUCCUGCGGCUGCCCGCAGGCCCUGAAAACCAGUGGCGGGCUCGCUAGUCACACCGAGCGCAGUAGCACAUCUCGCUCAGGGCGUGCGGCGGGGUCCAGCCGUUAAAGCACCCACCUUUCGCAAGGUUGACCUCGGAUCAGGUAGGAAUACCCGCUGAACUUAAGCAUAUCAAUAAGCGGAGGA
Molecule: unclassified non-coding RNA, 334 nt
Filed under: soil metagenome
Description: partial contains 5.8S ribosomal RNA, internal transcribed spacer 2, and large subunit ribosomal RNA
Rfam family: 5.8S ribosomal RNA (bases 1-120)
Source: RNAcentral